UACGGAGGAUGCAAGCGUUAUCCGGAUUUACUGGGUUUAAAGGGUGCGUAGGUGGGUCUGUAAGUCAGUGGUGAAAUCUCCGAGCUUAACUCGGAAACUGCCAUUGAUACUAUAGAUCUUGAAUUAUCUGGAGGUAAGCGGAAUAUGUCAUGUAGCGGUGAAAUGCUUAGAUAUGACAUAGAACACCAAUUGCGAAGGCAGCUUACUACGGAUCGAUUGACACUGAGGCACGAAAGCGUGGGGAUCAAACAGG
This 253-nucleotide ribosomal RNA is filed under the name uncultured bacterium. RNAcentral's name for it is "partial 16S ribosomal RNA". It matches the Rfam family "Bacterial small subunit ribosomal RNA", at positions 524 to 776 of the family's 1533-position model. The record is from RNAcentral.